Molecule: small RNA, 131 nt
Filed under: Deltaproteobacteria bacterium
Lineage: Bacteria; Pseudomonadati; Myxococcota; Myxococcia
Description: c-di-AMP sequence
Rfam family: c-di-AMP riboswitch aptamer (ydaO/yuaA leader)
About the family: This family represents a conserved RNA structure found upstream of the ydaO and yuaA genes in Bacillus subtilis and related genes in other bacteria.
Source: RNAcentral
CCGACAUACACGCCUAAUCCCCGACCGGGGAACGGAGGAACCAGCUUUUAGGGGUUAAUCCAGGCCUCGACCCACUUCGGUCGAGAGUUUGGACGGGCCACGCUCUUUGAGCCCGAACCCGUCAGCUAACU